GAUGAACGCUGGCGGCGUGCCUAAUACAUGCAAGUCGAGCGAACAGACGAGGAGCUUGCUCCUCUGACGUUAGCGGCGGACGGGUGAGUAACACGUGGAUAACCUACCUAUAAGACUGGUAUCACUUCGGGAAACCGGAGCUAAUACCGGAUAAUAUAUUGAACCGCAUGGUUCAAUAGUGAAUGACGGUUUUGCUGUCACUUAUCGAUGGAUCCGCGCCGCAUUAGCUAGUUGGUAAGGUAACGGCUUACCAAGGCAACGAUGCGUAGCCGACCUGAGAGGGUGAUAGGCCACACUGGAACGUAGACACGGUCAAGACUCCUAAGAGAGGCAGCAGUAGGGAAUCGUCCGCAAUGGGCGAAAGCCUGACGGAGCAACGCCGAGUGAGUGAUGAAGGUCUUCGGAUCGUAAAACUCUGUUAUUAGGGAAGAACAAAUGUGUAAGUAACUAUGCACGUCUUGACGGUACCUAAUCAGAAAGCCACGGCUAACUACGUG
This 497-nucleotide ribosomal RNA is filed under the name uncultured bacterium. RNAcentral describes it as "partial 16S ribosomal RNA". It matches the Rfam family "Bacterial small subunit ribosomal RNA", at positions 28 to 507 of the family's 1533-position model. The record is from RNAcentral.